AUGAACGAUGAACCUCGCUUGUGGGGGGAUUAGUGGCGAACGGGUGAGUAACACGUGAGUAACCUGCCCUUGACUCUGGGAUAAGCCUGGGAAACUGGGUCUAAUACCGGAUAUGACUCCUCAUCGCAUGGUGGGGGGUGGAAAGCUUUUUGUGGUUUUGGAUGGACUCGCGGCCUAUCAGCUUGUUGGUGAGGUAAUGGCUCACCAAGGCGACGACGGGUAGCCGGCCUGAGAGGGUGACCGGCCACACUGGGACUGAGACACGGCCCAGACUCCUACGGGAGGCAGCAGUGGGGAAUAUUGCACAAUGGGCGAAAGCCUGAUGCAGCGACGCCGCGUGAGGGAUGACGGCCUUCGGGUUGUAAACCUCUUUCAGUAGGGAAGAAGCGAAAGUGACGGUACCUGCAGAAGAAGCGCCGGCUAACUACGUGCCAGCAGCCGCGGUAAUACGUAGGGCGCAAGCGUUAUCCGGAAUUAUUGGGCGUAAAGAGCUCGUAGGCGGUUUGUCGCGUCUGCCGUGAAAGUCCGGGGCUCAACUCCGGAUCUGCGGUGGGUACGGGCAGACUAGAGUGAUGUAGGGGAGACUGGAAUUCCUGGUGUAGCGGUGAAAUGCGCAGAUAUCAGGAGGAACACCGAUGGCGAAGGCAGGUCUCUGGGCAUUAACUGACGCUGAGGAGCGAAAGCAUGGGGAGCGAACAGGAUUAGAUACCCUGGUAGUCCAUGCCGUAAACGUUGGGCACUAGGUGUGGGGGACAUUCCACGUUUUCCGCGCCGUAGCUAACGCAUUAAGUGCCCCGCCUGGGGAGUACGGCCGCAAGGCUAAAACUCAAAUGAAUUGACGGGG
Molecule: ribosomal RNA, 844 nt
Filed under: uncultured Actinomycetes bacterium
Lineage: Bacteria; Bacillati; Actinomycetota; Actinomycetes
Description: bacterial SSU rRNA
Rfam family: Bacterial small subunit ribosomal RNA
Source: RNAcentral